This is a non-coding RNA of Camelina sativa (false flax), 2336 nucleotides long. The record is from RefSeq and is a predicted model, not a curated record. Lineage: Eukaryota; Viridiplantae; Streptophyta; Magnoliopsida; Brassicales; Brassicaceae.
UUUGAGAAAUCAUAAUUCUUCAAAAGUUAAAAAAAAAAAACACCUUGUUCUUCUUUUUCUUUGUAGUCUCUGUUUCAUCUUGAGCAAGCAGUGCUAAUGUUUUACAGAGAGUACUCACCCGAUCUCGAGACCAUCAAAAUCGAUGACCAUCCGUACCAACACCGUGGGAACUGUUACUCGGCUUUGAACACACGAUCAAUGAUCUCGACACCGUUCUUAUUCCGAGGUGAUGACGCAACCCAUGGAUGAUGGAUGCAUGCAUCAUACGCGCCGUUGUAAUUACGAGAGCCAGGUUCCUAUUCUUGAUAGUUGAUACGCCAAGUCUGUGGGUGCAGCAGCGCAAGACUGUUUGGUUUCGUGGAACAAUCUACAAGAAAGACAUGACUACGAAGAUGGGCUUAAGCGAUAUCCUAAAAUGUCAAUAAUGUGGUUCAAAGAUUUUUUGAAGAAAAAAGAAGAAGACAUGAUGAAAAAAGCGAGAUUAAAAAGGAUUAAGAUUCCAGAAUUUGAAGCUAAUCAAAUAUAUUGUUUUUUUUUUUAUCAAAGAGGUGUUAUCAUUGGAUUAGAUAGAGAAUAACAUACAUGACAAUGAUUGUUUGGGAUACAACAGACAUAAAACAGUAAAAGUACAAUGAUAGAUAAUAGCAAUCGAUGUGAAGAGCUUGAGAGCUAUGAGCCACUUGCUAAGUAGCAAUAUGAAACUUGUAAGGUCAAGGCAAACCGAUGCAGACUCCAUGAGCAAGUUAAAGGAGUAUAAAGCCACUGUCUUGAAUCUUCGAAGACUUGGCGGAGAUGAGAAUGACAAAGCUACGUUGCCAAAAGGUCGAGCAUGGAUGUUGUGGCUCUGAUGACCGAUUACUACAAAGGCAGUUGUUGGUCCAAGGUUAAAAGAGUAGGCCUUUAAAGGGUUGUGGUAACCACUACUCCUUGGAGUGAAGGUCAUAAUGCCACUAAUCUUUAAGGUUAUGUGCAGGGACUUCAAAAAGUAGCAAAUAUGCGGUUUAGAGAUCUUUAAGAUUUGGUGAGGUAUAGGUAGGACAACGGUGAAGCAUCGGUAAUCCCCACUCCAUAGAGGUGGGAUCAUAAUGCCAAGUUUCACCAAGCUGCCUCCAUAAAUGGGAACAUCCCUAUUGUAUCCAACUAACAAGGUUUUCAAAAGGUUCCUAUGCCAUUCUAGCAACAAUGUUGAUUUAAGGUUCAACAGCAGUCUUCGGACUAAAGAGACCAUUAAACUAAACAAAUAUUGCUUAGGGUGGGAAGGAGUAGAGUUCAGAUCAAUACCGGAUACAUACUGGUCUCGACACAAGAGAUUAUCAAACAACCUAGAAGAAUCUAGUGAUCUGUUACCGAGAAUUACUCGACUUGACCAAACAGACAACACCGGUGCUAACAGGUUUGAACUUGAUAUAACAUUAUCUAAAUCGGGUCGGAUUAGGUACCAGUUCAGGGUUGUGACAUAGUUUAACCGAGGUAAACUAUCUACCAGGUAACUUAUAUGUGAGUGGAGAGAAGACCUGGGCUAGGGAGGUAGCUUCGGGGAAAUAGAGAACGCCGGGGUUGUUGAAAUCUCCAUCAAGAUCUUCCAUGGCUUCGGCAUCAAAACAGAGAUCCCGUCCAUUUGCAGCCAAGUAAAACACUUGGAGAGUGGAUGUAGAUCCGAGGAGCGGAGAGAUGUUGCAGUUGAUUGCGGGAUGUGCCAGAUCGAGGGAUAGAAAACAAGGUUACCGGGGUGGUCAAGGGUUUGUGGAGGUGGUUGCAAGAGGGAUGGACGGAGGUGGAGGGAAGAGGGGAAAGAGCUGAAGCUUACGCAUUGCCGGAGUCGAGAUCUGAGAUCUCAAAGGGCCUCCGAUGAAGAGAACAAGGACCUUAAAAGAAAUGUGCGGAAGGAGGAGAGGACGAGGGUUACAGAACCAGAGCCCAGCGACACCGAUCGGUCUCGACGCCGCCGGGGGAAGCUUUGUGCUAGAGAGGAUAUCAGCUAGGACGAACUCUCACUCAUAAUCAAAUAUAUUGUUAAGAAGGCUUAUAGCUGAGUUAUUUUUUGUUGGGGAAUCGAAAGAGUGUUUCUCCUGUUUAAUAGUAUACAGUUUCAAGUUUCAAUAAUCGAAAUAAAAUAAAAUUUUGAUAAAUUAUCGAAUUUGUAAAGAGUUUUUCUACUAAAAGAAAAAUCAUCAAAUAGAUUCGAAAAUAGCCUAAUUUCUAUGUCAGUUGAUCGAUGACAGUACAUGGUUUUAAUAGUAACAACGGUUGAGCUUUUAACCAACUGAUUUAGAUCAGAAUUAUAAAAUACAGUGGGAAUUAUUCUAAACUCUACUGUAGCCAAAUAAAAGAGGUAC